Unclassified non-coding RNA from Macaca mulatta (Rhesus monkey), 117 nucleotides. It matches the Rfam family "Metazoan signal recognition particle RNA". Rfam says of the family: The signal recognition particle (SRP) is a universally conserved ribonucleoprotein. It is involved in the co-translational targeting of proteins to membranes. The eukaryotic SRP consists of a 300-nucleotide 7S RNA and six proteins: SRPs 72, 68, 54, 19, 14, and 9. The record is from Ensembl. NCBI's taxonomy places the organism in Eukaryota, Metazoa, Chordata, Mammalia, Primates, Cercopithecidae.
GCCGGGCGCGGUGGCUCACGCCUGUAAUCCCUGCACUCUGGGAGGCUGAGGCGGGAGGAUUACUUGAGGUCAGGAGUUCAAGACCAGCCUGGCCAACACAGUGAAACCCCGUCUCUA